UGUUCCCUUAGCAAUUUAUUUCUGAUAUUCUUGGGAAUAGGGUAGACUGUAGCACAAGGGGGGAGCUUCCUGGAAGUUCCUAUGGUGCCACAGAGACGAAGGCUAUUAAUUCCAGCUGGGAGUAUCAGCCCCCAUAUUGCUGCAGACUGGAAAAUUACACCACACACAAACCCUGUCUUUGGAGCCAGGCCCGGCAGCUGGGAAGAUGGUCCCUAGGCCCCUUUCAAUUGUAUAAGAGCGGGCCUCCGAAAGGCAACACCCAAACAAAACAAGACAAGACAAGGCCAAAGCCCUCAUACUGAGACUGAACAAGGCAACCCAAUAGGAGAAGAGUCCCCAAACCAGACCAAAGAGUCAGAAAUACACCUGCUUCAACUCUUAGAAGUCUCACAGAGAUGCCAAGGCACAGCCAUAACAUGCAGAAAGGACAUGGGACAGACUCAUGCAGGCUCCGUGCUUGGUCCACCAGUCUCUGAAAUAUGUCCUCUCACAAGAUAGAAUCUUCAGCUCUGGGGCUGCCUCUGAUGGCUCUGUGACCAUGCAGGGCAGUGGAGCUUUCCUGAAGAGGUCACCACAAUCCUCCAGAGCUCACACAGCAUGGCCACCUCUGCUUUAUAGUGCUAACAGGGUCUCUGUGUUGGGCUUUUGCUCUGCCUGUUCAUAGUGGCUGAGAAUUCCAUGUCUGGGAUGCCCAAGGAGCUUGGAGGGCUCCGUUCAUCUCUCAGUCCCAAAGACAACUAGGCGUCAGCAAGCAGAACCUUUACUGAUGCCAAAUGAAUGGACACAUCUGGGAGGAAAAGUGAAUGAAGCCAGAGAAGGUACAGGGUAAGAUGAGACCUCCAUCGGGGAAAACCGAACAGUAUGCAGUGUGGGUGGGGAGAGGUGGAGGGAGAGACACAGAAACCUGCCCUGCUCAGACUGCAGACAGAGCAUGGGAAGCUUUAAGGGGCAGAAUGAGACAAUAUGCAGGACAUUCGAAAUGGUGCCUGGCACCUGGGAAACACUUCAAUAAUGUGAGGUUGAUUACUGCUACCUUUAUAUUAUGAGAAAUAUUAACAAUUUGUAUGUUUCUAGUUACUUUUCAUUAUCAAGGUGGCGUUUCUGAAUUUUAGAAUCAUCCCAAAAGCUUGUUGUUGCCAAGAGCUUGCUUUCUGAAUCUGUUAAAAAAAUAAAAAGCACAAGUAAGCCUCACAGGAUGGAUCACGACAGCACAAACUAAAAUCACCAUCACAUGGACGCUUUCUGAGAUCAAGGACACAGCCUGGUUCCAGGGAGCUUGAGAGAGACCUUGCCUAUGCUUCCCCAAUACAAUAAGGUCAUGGUGUCUGCAUCCCAGGGCACUGCGAGCUGCUUCUGAACUUUGCAAUGGGUGAUACGGCGCAACUCUGGGAAGUAUCCGAGUGGACCUGGAGAAGCUUGAGGUGCCAGAGACAGAAUUCCAUAGCAAACAUAACAGAAGCAACAGCAACAGUGGCUUGCCUGAGUCCCUACAAAAGAGGAGGUACCAGACCCAAGCUCCCCAAAACCACAACACAGUGGCAACUGGGUGUUUCUUUGUUUUGUUUCAUUUUUUGUUUUUUGUUAUCGUUGUUGUUUUUGUUGUUGUUGUUGUUUUGUUUCUUUCCUACCUGGCCAGUUUGCUUUUUUCCUCUUUGCUAACAGCAUUGCCAAGCAUUCUUUUCAGAGGCAGAGGUUUCUCAUUUCUAGAACGUGUUUUGGAUACAGCUGACUGAGCCUAACCUCACAGUAAAGCAUAGGACUCAGCCCUGCCCAUUGGUACUGACUUCAGAAAGGCCCGAAAGAACAUGUGACCCGAGUAAAAAAUCAAUCAGAUUCUGCUAUAGGAUGCUGCUGAAAUGGUUGUUCAUAGAUAACCUCAUUUUCUUUUUUUCCUU
This 1895-nucleotide small RNA is filed under the name Rattus norvegicus (Norway rat). RNAcentral describes it as "uncharacterized LOC102551515". The record is from RNAcentral. Lineage: Eukaryota; Metazoa; Chordata; Mammalia; Rodentia; Muridae.